GUGAGGAAUUUUCCGCAAUGGGCGAAUGCCUGACGGAGCAAUGCCGCGUGAAGGAUGAAGGCCUAUGGGUUGUAAACUUCUUUUCUCAGAAAAGAAUUAUGACGGUAUCUGAGGAAUAAGCAUCGGCUAACUCUGUGCCAGCAGCCGCGGUAAGACAGAGGAUGCAAGCGUUAUCCGGAAUGAUUGGGCGUAAAGCGUCUGUAGGUUGUUUAAAAAGUAUUCUGUCAAAGAUUAGGGCUUAACCCUAGAUAGGCAGAAUAAACUUUUAAGCUAGAGUUUGGUAGAGGCAGAGGGAAUUCCCGGUGGAGCGGUGAAAUGCGUAGAUAUCGGGAGGAACACCAAAGGCGAAGGCACUCUGCUGGGCCAAUACUAACACUGAGAGACGAAAGCGAGGGGAGCAAAUGGGAUUAGAAACCCGGGUAGUCC
Molecule: ribosomal RNA, 426 nt
Filed under: uncultured bacterium
Lineage: Bacteria
Description: partial 16S ribosomal RNA
Rfam family: Bacterial small subunit ribosomal RNA
Source: RNAcentral